CAUUGAGGUGUAGUGGUUUCCACACUGGACUAUGAUUCUGGAGACCAGGAUUCAAUUCCCUGCUUGGCCA
Molecule: non-coding RNA, 70 nt
Organism: Phrynosoma platyrhinos (Desert horned lizard)
Lineage: Eukaryota; Metazoa; Chordata; Lepidosauria; Squamata; Phrynosomatidae
Source: the annotation of a GenBank genome assembly